This 139-nucleotide ribosomal RNA is filed under the name Sporosarcina sp. P19. RNAcentral describes it as "partial 16S ribosomal RNA". It matches the Rfam family "Bacterial small subunit ribosomal RNA", at positions 1 to 135 of the family's 1533-position model. The record is from RNAcentral. Lineage: Bacteria; Bacillati; Bacillota; Bacilli; Caryophanales; Caryophanaceae.
UAUUAUGGAGAGUUUGAUCCUGGCUCAGGACGAACGCUGGCGGCAUGCCUAAUACAUGCAAGUCGAGCGAACUGUUGGAAGCUUGCUUCCUUCAGUUAGCGGCGGACGGGUGAGUAACACGUGGGCAACCUGCCCUUCA